RNAcentral lists this transfer RNA (85 nucleotides) under Treponema sp. Its description in RNAcentral is "tRNA-Ser". It matches the Rfam family "tRNA". Rfam says of the family: Transfer RNA (tRNA) molecules are approximately 80 nucleotides in length. Their secondary structure includes four short double-helical elements and three loops (D, anti-codon, and T loops). The record is from RNAcentral. Lineage: Bacteria; Pseudomonadati; Spirochaetota; Spirochaetia; Treponematales; Treponemataceae. RNAcentral also lists the same sequence under 3 other names.
GGAGACGUGGUAGAGCGGUAAUACAACGGAUUGCUAAUCCGUCACUUGCGCAAGCGGUGGGCAGGUUCGACCCCUGUCGUCUCCG